Molecule: non-coding RNA, 107 nt
Organism: Gossypium raimondii (Peruvian cotton)
Lineage: Eukaryota; Viridiplantae; Streptophyta; Magnoliopsida; Malvales; Malvaceae
Source: Rfam
AUUCCAUGAUGAGGGCACUCCCGUAAUAAUUCUUUGUCCCUUUCUCAUGCCUCAUACAAGGACUUGCCAUCCAUUUGUUGGAAAAUAGUGAUUUCAGUCUUCAACUU